AAAUGUGUGUAGUGUGUGAAAUAUGUGAAACAUGUUAAAUGUGUGAAGUGUGUGUAGUGUGUCAAAUAUGUGAAGUGUGUGUAGUGUGUGAAGUGUGUGUCACGGAUUUUUCCAAUUAUUAAAAUGUAACACCCCGAAUUUUCGUGCACUAGUUUUGGAGUAUAAAAUAAAAUUUGGACGAAGAGACGAUUAGAAUUAAAGUUCAAGGAAAUUUCAAGUUUGUGAACUACAUUUGUUGAAAAGAAGAAAUGCCAAGUAAUCAAAUAGAGUGCUUUUUUUCUUGAUAUACAAAGGAAAUAUGUUACAGCUUGGCAAAUCUAAGGAGUAUAAAAUCUAGGAUUUCACUCUAGCUAGAAAUGGUAAUGAGAUCAAGGAACGCUUUUUGGAGCAUGAUCUUUUCCCUCUCUCUUCGGCAGCCACAAUAUUCCAAGGAAGAGUGAGAGCAAGAUAUCAUUUUGUUUAUUCCAAAAGGAUCCUUGCAAACACAUAAAUGGUUAGAAGAGUCUUCUAAUAUGAAAGAGGGAUAUGAUGCUAGCUAUAAAUGGAAGAAGCAGUAACAAGGCUUGAGAUCAACCAAUUUUUAAGUCAUCCAAUAAUUACACAAGUCAUCCAAGAAUUACACAAAUUUAGCAAGAAGGCUUUUUAGCUCAACUCAAAAAGAGAGGUGAGUUGUUAGCUCAAAAUAGAAAUUGGAGCUCUCCAAUGCCUUACACCAAUUUUUUUUUGUUUUUAGUGAAGCUUUUAACCCAAAUUCAAAAGUGAAGGAAUCUUUAUCCCAAAUUAGCCACAAAAUGCCAAGGAAUUUUGCUAUAAAUACCACAUUCCACCACCUUCUUUCUCCACACCCAUCAAUACUUAGAAAAUCACAAAUAUUGGGAGCACAGCAAGGAGUGGUGGCAAGAGAGCAUCCCCAAGGAUUCACCCAAGCUAAGGUGUGUAGAGAAUCUGCCAGGACCAGAAGGUUGCAAGGAGCGACCAGGCAGAUGACGGAUCAAGGAGAAGUGGAGCGAAUCACAACGUGCUGCCUGUUGAUCAAGAAGAACUAAGAUGAAAAGCAGCAAGAGCAGCAAAUGAGACAAAGGGCAUAUUUUAAGGAUCCUUUUACAAGGGGCACAACCGACCUUUUAGAGAGGGAUUUCCCUAGGGAUCAGAGCCUCAAGCCUCCCUAUAUAAAGGGAGGGGAAUGAAAAAUGAGGCAGCUCCCUCUCUCCGAGCUCACAUUACUCUCCGAUCCUUAGAUUGAUCUCUACACACUUGGAAUGGAGGUUUGAAACUCUGGCUGUGGUGGGGGUUCGUUUAGCUGGGCAACACCGUCCUACGUCUUGAAAUUCCUGGUUCCGGUUCGUGCGCCCAACGACAUGUGGAUUGGCUUCGUAGAGUCGUCUUGAUCAACUAGAAUUCUG
Molecule: long non-coding RNA, 1403 nt
Organism: Salvia splendens (bonfire salvia)
Lineage: Eukaryota; Viridiplantae; Streptophyta; Magnoliopsida; Lamiales; Lamiaceae
Exons: 3
Source: RefSeq, a predicted model, not a curated record